GUCCAUUUUAGGCCGGGCUGCACUGACAUCCAACCUGCAAUAAGCACAAGAUUCUUUGGCAAGAAAUUGACAGGAUACUUACAUUCAAAUGUAGAAUGGUCACAACCCAGAAAAGACCCUGAUCUGAACAACCAAAGGAUUCAGGAUCUUACCCAGUCUGACCAGAAGGCUUACUCCCAUUUACCUGAAAAUGAAACCAGGACUAUAACUGCAUCACCAUGGAUACAGGAUUUCAGGGGUCACAGAAUCAGAUCAAACCACCAUAUGAUGAAAGCAGAAAAAUCCCUGAUUAAAAAACUCUGUAAACAGUUGGAAAAGCCCAGCAACAGCAAAUUCUGUGGAGUAGAAACCAAAGCAAGAGAUUCUAUCUUCAUUGCCAUCUUGACCCAUAAGUGGCGCUGCUGGCCAGCAGCAUUGCUGCUCUGAAUCCCAUCCCACAGGUGGCUGUUUUCCAGAGAGCAGAAAAAGGGCAGAGCAGGUACGAUUUUUAAGGUUAAAAAUUAGUAAUCUGGCUCAGAGAUAAAAAUUCAGUGAUCCAUAUUUCAGCAUUUGAAGUGGUAAAAGAGGCAAAUGCGUGGAAAGUCAGAUUUUGUUAUCUAUGAAGUUCAGGAGACAAUUUUAUGCAGAACAAAAUGCAUGAACACAGCACAAUUAUGAUUUCUUUAGGCCCCUUUAAUAUUGCAAUGAUAGUUUUAUGUACCAGGUUGCCCAUAGAAUAAUUUGUCUCUGGCCGCAGAUACUAAUAAGAAACCAAGCACAGCCAAGUGAAAUUCUGCUUUAAACACCCCAAAUCUAAUUGAUCUUUGUUUUGUAUUUACUGAAAGGCAUUAAGUCACUCAUCAGAAAAAUAUGUCCAUGUGAAAAAGUAUGGCAACAAGUGUGCUUUUUCCUCAGUUUUUUUCUUUCAUUGCAAUUGUUUGUUAAUUAUUUUUCUGUGAAAGCAAAUACUUUCACUUAGUUCACAAGAUUCCCUGGGGAAAACAUGGCACCACAAUGUGACACCAGAGAUAGCAGCGCAUAGAGGAGAGCCGAAUUCCUUUUUGAAAGCUGCAAAACAUGAUAAAAGGGACUAAAGGUUAUUGGAUUAUAA
This 1090-nucleotide long non-coding RNA is filed under the name Coturnix japonica (Japanese quail). RNAcentral describes it as "lncRNA (ENSCJPG00005020300.1)". Lineage: Eukaryota; Metazoa; Chordata; Aves; Galliformes; Phasianidae. The record is from RNAcentral.